AUUGAACGCUGGCGGAAUGCUUUACACAUGCAAGUCGAACGGCAGCACGGGAGCUUGCUCCUGGUGGCGAGUGGCGAACGGGUGAGUAAUAUAUCGGAACGUAUCCAAUAAUGGGGGAUAACUAAGCGAAAGCUUGGCUAAUACCGCAUACGCCCUGAGGGGGGAAAGCUAGGGAUCUUCGGACCUGGCGUUGAUGGAGCGGCCGAUAUCUGAUUAGCUAGUUGGUGGGGUAAAGGCCCACCAAGGCGACGAUCAGUAGCUGGUCUGAGAGGACGACCAGCCACACUGGAACUGAGACACGGUCCAGACUCCUACGGGAGGCAG
This 324-nucleotide ribosomal RNA is filed under the name uncultured Pseudomonadota bacterium. Its description in RNAcentral is "bacterial SSU rRNA". It matches the Rfam family "Bacterial small subunit ribosomal RNA", at positions 30 to 351 of the family's 1533-position model. Lineage: Bacteria; Pseudomonadati; Pseudomonadota. The record is from RNAcentral.